AGACGGAGAGAGAAAAAGGGUACAAGCCAGGGAGAGAAUGAGAAGGAGACAGGGGAUGGGUGGGCAGAGGGUGAAACCAACCAUUUCAGAGAGAGACGGAGAGAGAAAAAGGGUACAAGCCAGGGAGAGAAUGAGAAGGAGAUAAAGAAGAGAGAGGUAGCGAGAGAAAAAGAGAAAAAGAGAAUAGACAGGUGUGCGAUAGACAAAAUAAAAAAAGGAACGCCACACUGAUAUAUGUGUUAGUUACACCACCCAAGAAGACGAUUAAGAGUUCAUGUGUUACACCACCCAGGAAGACGAUUAAGAGUUCAUGUGUUACACCACCCAGGAAGAAUAGUAAGAGUUCAUGUGUUACACCACCCAGGAAGACUAGUAAGAGUUCAUGUGUUACACCACCCAGGAAGACGAUUAAGAGUUCAUGUGUUACACCACCCAGGAAGACGAUUAAGAGGUCAUGUGUUACACCACCCAGGAAGAAGAUUAGGAGGUCAUGUGUUACACCACCCAGGAAGAAGAUUAGGAGGUCAUGUGUUACACCACCCAGGAAGACGAUUAAGAGUUCAUGUGUUACACCACCCAAAAGACUAGUAAGAGUUCAUGUGUAACACCACCCAGGAAGACGAUUAAGAGUUCAUGUGUUACACCACCCAGGAAGACGAUUAAGAGGUCAUGUGUUACACCACCCAGGAAGACGAUUAGGAGGUCAUGUGUUACACCACCCAGGAAGACGAUUAAGAGUUCAUAUGUUACACCACCCAGGAAGACAUUUUAAGAGUUAAUGUGUUACACCACCCAGGAAGACGAUUAAGAGUUCAUGUGUUACACCACCCAGGAAGACGAUUAAGAGUUCAUGUGUUACACCACCCAGGAAGACGAUUAGGAGGUCAUGUGUUACACCACCCAGGAAGACUAGUAAGAGUUCAUGUGUUACACCACCCAGAAAGACUAGUAAGAGUUCAUGUGUUACACCACCCAGAAAGACUAGUAAGAGUUCAUGUGUAACACCACCCAGAAAGACUAGUAAGAGUUCAUGUGUUACACCACCCAGAAAGACUAGUAAGAGUUCAUGUGUUACACCACCCAGGAAGACGAUUAAGAGUUCAUGUGUUACACCACCCAAAAGACUAGUAAGAGUUCAUGUGUAACACCACCCAGAAAGACUAGUAAGAGUUCAUGUGUAACACCACCCAGAAAGACUAGUAAGAGUUCAUGUGUUACACCACCCAGGAAGACGAUUAGGAGGUAAUGUGUUACACCACCCAGGGGGAAUUUGUGUGUGCUUUCCUAGCCUCUGACUAGUCGGAUGGAUUAGAUUCAAUAAAAACAGAGAAUACAGUGCCUUGCGAAAGUACUCACCCCCCUUGCAUUUUCCCUAUUUUUUUUUGCAUUACAACCUGUAAUUUAAAUAGAUUUUUUUUUAUUUGAAUUUCAUGUAAUGGACAUACACAAAAUAGUCCAAAUUGGUGAAGUGGAAUGAAAAAAAUAACUUGUUUCAAAAGAAUGUAAAAAAUUGAAAAUGGUAAAGUGGUGCGUAUGUAUUCACUCCCUUUGCUAUGAAACCCCCGAAUAAGAUCUAGUGCAACCAAUUACCUUCAGAAGUCACAUGAUCUGUCACAUGAUCUCAGUAUAUUUACACCUGUUCUGAAAGGCCCCAGAGUCUGCAACAACACUAAGCAAGUGGCCCAAUGAAGAUCAAGGAGCUCUCCAAACUGGUCAGGAACAAAGUUGUGGAGAAGUACAGAUCAGGGUUGGGUUAUAAAAAAAAUAUCAGAAACUUUGAACAUCCUACAGAGCACCAAUAAAUCCAUUAUAAAAAAAUGAAAGAAUAUGGCACCACAACAAACCUGUCAUGAGAGGGCCGCCCACCAAAACUCACGGACCAGGCAAGGAGGGCAUUAAUCAGAGAGACAACAAAGAGACCAAAGAUAACCCUGAUGGAGCUGCAACACUCCACAGCGAAGAAUGGAGUAUCUGUCCAUAGGACAACUUUAAGCCGUACACUCCACAGAGCUGGGCUUUACGGAAGAGUGGCCAAAACAAAGCCAAUGCUUAAUGAAAAAAAUAAGGAAACACAUUUUGUAUUUGCCAAAAGACAUGUGGGAGACUCCCCGAACAUAUGGAAGAAGGUACUCUGGUCAAAGGAGGCUAAAAGCUUUUUGGCCAUCAAGGAAAACGCAAUGUCUGGGGCAAACCCAACACCUCUCAUCACCCCGAGAAUACUAUCCCCACAGUGAAGCAUGGUGGUGGCAGCAUCAUGCUGUGGGAAAGUUUUUCAUCAGCAGGGACUGGGAAACUGGUCAGAAAUGAAUGAGUGAUAGAUGGCGCUAAAUACAGGGAAAUUCUUGAGGUAAACCUGUUUCAAUCUUCCAAAGAUUUGAGACUGAGAUGGAGGUUCACCUUUCAGCAGGACAUUGACCCUAAGCAUACUGCUAAAGCGACACUCGAGUGGUUUAAGGGGAACUAUUUAAAUGUCUUGGAAUGGCCUAGUCAAAGCCCAGACCUCAUUCCAAUUGAGAAUCUGUGGUAUGACUUAAAUAUUGCUGUACACCAGCAUAACCCAUCCAACUUGAAGGAGCUGGAGCAGUUUUGCC
This is a long non-coding RNA of Oncorhynchus keta (chum salmon), 2591 nucleotides long. RefSeq lists it as uncharacterized. The transcript has 3 exons. Lineage: Eukaryota; Metazoa; Chordata; Actinopteri; Salmoniformes; Salmonidae. The record is from RefSeq and is a predicted model, not a curated record.